Molecule: long non-coding RNA, 582 nt
Organism: Microplitis demolitor
Lineage: Eukaryota; Metazoa; Arthropoda; Insecta; Hymenoptera; Braconidae
Exons: 3
Source: RefSeq, a predicted model, not a curated record
UAAAAAGAUGUAUUAAUGUCUAUUCAUCUAUUAAUGAGAAGAGAGCAAGCCUUCGGAAACUUUUUUAUAUAAAUUAAAAUAAUUAAAAAUUAAAUUUAUGAAAUAAAAAUUUGAAAAAAUUGUUUCUACAUAAAAAUUUUUAAUCGUCAGAUGUCAGCUAUUUUUGGUGUCACGAAAUACAAAUCUGUAAAAAUAAGUGAUUAAAAAAGAAAUGAGUUACUUAGAGGUUGCUAUAUAAAAUUUAAUUAAUAAUUAAUCAUAAUAAAUAUGUUAAACUAAGUGCUUGUUUUGAUGACGUUGCAUCUUUCUUGAGUGAAAUCUUGAAUAAUAUUAUAAUAGUAAAAAUUACAGGUUAUGAAUGAAAUUUAAAAAUUUUCAUUAAUUAUAUGUUGUUGUAAACUUCUAUAAAUUCUUAUUCACUAGAUUCCAUUCUACCUUCAAAAACCUCUACUUCGUUGAUUAUCGAGUGUAUGAUUAAAUAGGAACAGGAAUUAUAAAUAUUGUUAUUAGCACUAUCAUUGAUAAAUAAAUAUUUAUCUUCAAAAAAAAAAUUAUUUUGCACUUUAUUGAAUUAUUAUUUUG